UUUCAGAGCCUAAUCGCAUGAGUUAAUGCAUAAGGAACAAAGACGCGCGCUACUCAAAUGCUAUGAUGCAAAUGAGAGGGGUCAAGUCUAUGCUAAAACUUAACAACAUGCAUUUAUGAAUAUAGGCCCUUAGUGAAACGCAAUUAAGCAGACAGAUCACUCCACGAACUAAGAACGGCCAUGCACCACCUAUCACAUAAUCAUGAAAGGACUAGCAUCUUUAACAGAGCAUGCGCGUAUAUCAAACUGUUAAUUAAAACAGCAAUCAACACUGCAAGCUCAUAACGCCUGUCAAUCCUCAGUGUGUCCGGACCCGGUAAGAUUUCCCGCGUUGGGUCAAAUUAAGCCACAUGCUCCACGCGUUCUUGUGGUGCCCUUCCGUCAAUUCCUUCAAGUUUCACACGUGCGU
RNAcentral lists this ribosomal RNA (409 nucleotides) under Foraminifera environmental sample. Its description in RNAcentral is "partial small subunit ribosomal RNA". The record is from RNAcentral. Lineage: Eukaryota; Foraminifera.